Molecule: ribosomal RNA, 506 nt
Filed under: uncultured bacterium
Lineage: Bacteria
Description: bacterial SSU rRNA
Rfam family: Bacterial small subunit ribosomal RNA
Source: RNAcentral
AGCGAACGCUGGCGGCAGGCCUAACACAUGCAAGUCGAACGGCCGUAGCAAUACGGCAGUGGCAGACGGGUGAGUAACACGUGGGAAUGUGCCCUUCGGUUCGGAAUAACCCAGGGAAACUUGGGCUAAUACCGGAUACGCCCUUACGGGGAAAGAUUUAUCGCCGAAGGAUCAGCCCGCGUCCGAUUAGCUAGUUGGUGGGGUAAUGGCCCACCAAGGCUCCGAUCGGUAGCUGGUCUGAGAGGAUGAUCAGCCACACUGGGACUGAGACACGGCCCAGACUCCUACGGGAGGCAGCAGUGGGGAAUAUUGGACAAUGGGCGCAAGCCUGAUCCAGCCAUGCCGCGUGAGUGAUGAAGGCCCUAGGGUUGUAAAGCUCUUUCGGCGGGAAGAUAAUGACGGUACCCGCAGAAGAAGCCCCGGCUAACUUCGUGCCAGCAGCCGCGGUAAUACGAAGGGGGCUAGCGUUGCUCGGAAUCACUGGGCGUAAAGCGCACGUAGGCGGA